GCCUGAGUAGCGUAGUAGGAUAGCGCGUCAGUCUCAUAAUCUGAAGGUCGUGAUUUCGAGCCUCACCUCGGGCA
RNAcentral lists this transfer RNA (74 nucleotides) under Toxocara canis (dog roundworm). It matches the Rfam family "tRNA". Rfam says of the family: Transfer RNA (tRNA) molecules are approximately 80 nucleotides in length. Their secondary structure includes four short double-helical elements and three loops (D, anti-codon, and T loops). The record is from Rfam by way of RNAcentral. Lineage: Eukaryota; Metazoa; Nematoda; Chromadorea; Rhabditida; Toxocaridae.